UGAGGAAUAUUGGUCAAUGGGCGCAAGCCUGAACCAGCCAUCCCGCGUGCAGGAAGACGGCCCUAUGGGUUGUAAACUGCUUUUCCAGGGGGAGAAUUUUUCUGUCGUGACAGGAAUUGACGGUACCCUGGGAAUAAGCAUCGGCUAACUCCGUGCCAGCAGCCGCGGUAAUACGGAGGAUGCGAGCGUUAUCCGGAUUUAUUGGGUUUAAAGGGUGCGUAGGCGGAUAGAUAAGUCAGUGGUGAAAACCUGCAGCUUAACUGUAGACUUGCCGUUGAUACUGUCAGUCUUGAGUAUGGUCAAGGUAGGCGGAAUGUGUAAUGUAGCGGUGAAAUGCUUAGAUAUUACACAGAACACCAAUUGCGUAGGCAGCUUACUGAGCCGACACUGACGCUGAGGCACGAAAGCGUGGGGAUCAAACA
RNAcentral lists this ribosomal RNA (422 nucleotides) under uncultured prokaryote. Its description in RNAcentral is "bacterial SSU rRNA". It matches the Rfam family "Bacterial small subunit ribosomal RNA", at positions 355 to 774 of the family's 1533-position model. The record is from RNAcentral.